UUUGAUCCUGGCUCAGGACGAACGCUGGCGGCGUGCUUAACACAUGCAAGUCGAACGAUGAAGCCUAGCUUGCUAGGUGGAUUAGUGGCGAACGGGUGAGUAAUACGUGAGUAACCUACCUUUAACUCUGGGAUAAGCCUGGGAAACUGGGUCUAAUACCGGAUACGACCAAUCUCCGCAUGGGGUGUUGGUGGAAAGCGUUAUGUAGUGGUUAUAGAUGGGCUCACGGCCUAUCAGCUUGUUGGUGAGGUAACGGCUCACCAAGGCGACGACGGGUAGCCGGCCUGAGAGGGUGACCGGCCACACUGGGACUGAGACACGGCCCAGACUCCUACGGGAGGCAGCAGUGGGGAAUAUUGCACAAUGGGCGCAAGCCUGAUGCAGCGACGCCGCGUGAGGGAUGACGGCCUUCGGGUUGUAAACCUCUGUUAGCAGGGAAGAAGAGAGAUUGACGGUACCUGCAGAGAAAGCGCCGGCUAACUACGUGCCAGCAGCCGCGGUAAUACGUAGGGCGCGAGCGUUGUCCGGAAUUAUUGGGCGUAAAGAGCUUGUAGGCGGUUUGUCGCGUCUGCUGUGAAAGGCCGGAGCUUAACUCCGUGUAUUGCAGUGGGUACGGGCAGACUAGAGUGCAGUAGGGGAGACUGGAAUUCCUGGUGUAGCGGUGGAAUGCGCAGAUAUCAGGAGGAGCACCGAUGGCGAAGGCAGGUCUCUGGGCUGUAACUGACGCUGAGAAGCGAAAGCAUGGGGAGCGAACAGGAUUAGAUACCCUGGUAGUCCAUGCCGUAAACGUUGGGCACUAGGUGUGGGGGACAUUCCACGUUUUCCGCGCCCGUAGCUAACGCAUUAAGUGCCCCGCCUGGGGAGUACGGCCGCAAGGCUAAAAACUCAAAGAAAUUGACGGGGGCCCGCACAAGCGGCGGAGCAUGCGGAUUAAUUCGAUGCAAACGCGAAGAACCUUACCAAGGCUUGACAUAUACUGGACCGCAUCAGAGAUGGUGUUUCCCUUCGGGGCUGGUAUACAGGUGGUGCAUGGUUGUCGUCAGCUCGUGUCGUGAGAUGUUGGGUUAAGUCCCGCAACGAGCGCAACCCUCGUUCUAUGUUGCCAGCACGUUAUGGUGGGGACUCAUAGGAGACUGCCGGGGUCAACUCGGAGGAAGGUGGGGAUGACGUCAAAUCAUCAUGCCCCUUAUGUCUUGGGCUUCACGCAUGCUACAAUGGCCGGUACAGAGGGUUGCGAUACUGUGAGGUGGAGCUAAUCCCUAAAAGCCGGUCUCAGUUCGGAUUGGGGUCUGCAAACUCGACCCCAUGAAAGUCGGAGUCGCUAGUAAUCGCAGAAUCAGGCAAACGCUGCGGUGAAAUACGUUCCCGGG
RNAcentral lists this ribosomal RNA (1370 nucleotides) under uncultured bacterium. RNAcentral describes it as "16S ribosomal RNA". It matches the Rfam family "Bacterial small subunit ribosomal RNA", at positions 12 to 1378 of the family's 1533-position model. The record is from RNAcentral.